AGAGUUUGAUCAUGGCUCAGAUUGAACGCUGGCGGCAGGCUUAACACAUGCAAGUCGAGCGGGGGAAGGUAGCUUGCUACCGGACCUAGCGGCGGACGGGUGAGUAAUGCUUAGGAAUCUGCCUAUUAGUGGGGGACAACAUCUCGAAAGGGAUGCUAAUACCGCAUACGUCCUACGGGAGAAAGCAGGGGAUCUUCGGACCUUGCGCUAAUAGAUGAGCCUAAGUCGGAUUAGCUAGUUGGUGGGGUAAAGGCCUACCAAGGCGACGAUCUGUAGCGGGUCUGAGAGGAUGAUCCGCCACACUGGGACUGAGACACGGCCCAGACUCCUACGGGAGAAAGCAGGGGAUCUUCGGACCUUGCGCUAAUAGAUGAGCCUAAGUCGGAUUAGCUANUUGCAAAGGGAAUGAGAUGGUCUAUAAUGCACAUCCAUCGGCGGUGAUGCAGAUAGAAACUUGUUGAAAAACAGUUACUUGUGAUUAGAUUGGUUGCUUUAAGUGAUGAAUUUGAUGGGAAGUUGGUUUAGAGAAUAAGUUUUAAAAAUAUCGAAAUUACCUGUUGACUUUUAAGAGAUUAAGAGUAAUAUAGCCGACCUAGCUUGCUGGUGACGAACCAGUAAGAAGAUCAUUAAGAGAAUUGAAGAACAACUUGUGUGGAUUUUUACUGAUUGAUUAAUCGAAAUAAUUUUCAUUGAUUGAUUGGUUUAAAUUACUCGAAGUUUAUUUGAGCGAAAUUUAAGUCAGUAAUUGAUGAGCCAGAAUUGGUACCUUGUCUUUAAAUAAGGUACAAAAUGAUUUUAACUGAAGAGUUUGAUCAUGGCUCAGAUUGAACGCUGGCGGCAGGCUUAACACAUGCAAGUCGAGCGGGGGAAGGUAGCUUGCUACCGGACCUAGCGGCGGACGGGUGAGUAAUGCUUAGGAAUCUGCCUAUUAGUGGGGGACAACAUCUCGAAAGGGAUGCUAAUACCGCAUACGUCCUACGGGAGAAAGCAGGGGAUCUUCGGACCUUGCGCUAAUAGAUGAGCCUAAGUCGGAUUAGCUAGUUGGUGGGGUAAAGGCCUACCAAGGCGACGAUCUGUAGCGGGUCUGAGAGGAUGAUCCGCCACACUGGGACUGAGACACGGCCCAGACUCCUACGGGAGGCAGCAGUGGGGAAUAUUGGACAAUGGGGGGAACCCUGAUCCAGCCAUGCCGCGUGUGUGAAGAAGGCCUUAUGGUUGUAAAGCACUUUAAGCGAGGAGGAGGCUACUUUAGUUAAUACCUAGAGAUAGUGGACGUUACUCGCAGAAUAAGCACCGGCUAACUCUGUGCCAGCAGCCGCGGUAAUACAGAGGGUGCGAGCGUUAAUCGGAUUUACUGGGCGUAAAGCGUGCGUAGGCGGCUUAUUAAGUCGGAUGUGAAAUCCCCGAGCUUAACUUGGGAAUUGCAUUCGAUACUGGUGAGCUAGAGUAUGGGAGAGGAUGGUAGAAUUCCAGGUGUAGCGGUGAAAUGCGUAGAGAUCUGGAGGAAUACCGAUGGCGAAGGCAGCCAUCUGGCCUAAUACUGACGCUGAGGUACGAAAGCAUGGGGAGCAAACAGGAUUAGAUACCCUGGUAGUCCAUGCCGUAAACGAUGUCUACUAGCCGUUGGGGCCUUUGAGGCUUUAGUGGCGCAGCUAACGCGAUAAGUAGACCGCCUGGGGAGUACGGUCGCAAGACUAAAACUCAAAUGAAUUGACGGGGGCCCGCACAAGCGGUGGAGCAUGUGGUUUAAUUCGAUGCAACGCGAAGAACCUUACCUGGCCUUGACAUACUAGAAACUUUCCAGAGAUGGAUUGGUGCCUUCGGGAAUCUAGAUACAGGUGCUGCAUGGCUGUCGUCAGCUCGUGUCGUGAGAUGUUGGGUUAAGUCCCGCAACGAGCGCAACCCUUUUCCUUACUUGCCAGCAUUUCGGAUGGGAACUUUAAGGAUACUGCCAGUGACAAACUGGAGGAAGGCGGGGACGACGUCAAGUCAUCAUGGCCCUUACGGCCAGGGCUACACACGUGCUACAAUGGUCGGUACAAAGGGUUGCUACACAGCGAUGUGAUGCUAAUCUCAAAAAGCCGAUCGUAGUCCGGAUUGGAGUCUGCAACUCGACUCCAUGAAGUCGGAAUCGCUAGUAAUCGCGGAUCAGAAUGCCGCGGUGAAUACGUUCCCGGGCCUUGUACACACCGCCCGUCACACCAUGGGAGUUUGUUGCACCAGAAGUAGCUAGCCUAACUGCAAAGAGGGCGGUUACCACGGUGUGGCCGAUGACUGGGGUGAAGUCGUAACAAGGUAGCCGUAGGGGAACCUGCGGCUGGAUCACCU
This 2328-nucleotide ribosomal RNA is filed under the name Acinetobacter baumannii. RNAcentral's name for it is "bacterial SSU rRNA". The stretch from base 797 to 2328 matches the Rfam family "Bacterial small subunit ribosomal RNA". The record is from RNAcentral. Lineage: Bacteria; Pseudomonadati; Pseudomonadota; Gammaproteobacteria; Moraxellales; Moraxellaceae.